Molecule: transfer RNA, 75 nt
Filed under: Rhizophagus irregularis DAOM 181602=DAOM 197198
Lineage: Eukaryota; Fungi; Glomeromycota; Glomeromycetes; Glomerales; Glomeraceae
Description: tRNA-Arg
Rfam family: tRNA
About the family: Transfer RNA (tRNA) molecules are approximately 80 nucleotides in length. Their secondary structure includes four short double-helical elements and three loops (D, anti-codon, and T loops).
Source: RNAcentral
GGCCGUGUAGAUCAGUGGAUAGAUCGUCUGCCUCCGGUUUAGCAGAAGGUCGUAGGUUCAAACCCUACCACGGUC